AACGGACGCUGGCGGCAUGCCUAACACAUGCAAGUCGAACGCGUGGAGCGAUCCACGAGUGGCGCACGGGUGAGUAACGCGUGGGAACCUGCCCUGGCGUGUGGGAUAACCCGGCGAAAGCCGGGCUAAUACCGCAUACGACCUGAGGGUGAAAGAUUUAUCGCUCUAGGAGGGGCCCGCGUCGGAUUAGCGAGUUGGUGAGGUAAUGGCGCACCAAGGCGAUGAUCCGUAGCUGGUCUGAGAGGAUGAUCAGCCACACUGGGACUGAGACACGGCCCAGACUCCUACGGGAGGCAGCAGUGGGGAAUGUUGGACAAUGGGGGCAACCCUGAUCCAGCAAUGCCGCGUGGGCGAUGAAGGCCUUCGGGUUGUAAAGCCCUUUUGCACGCGACGAUGAUGACGGUAGCGUGAGAAGAAGCCCCGGCUAACUUCGUGCCAGCCGCCGCGGUAA
RNAcentral lists this ribosomal RNA (451 nucleotides) under uncultured bacterium. RNAcentral's name for it is "partial 16S ribosomal RNA". It matches the Rfam family "Bacterial small subunit ribosomal RNA", at positions 28 to 523 of the family's 1533-position model. The record is from RNAcentral.